AAAACAUUAAACUUUAAACCAUACUUCCUUCCUGUUGGAACAGAAAGUCACCAGAUUAAAGAUGAAGACUGUCAUCUUUCUGAUGUGUCUCAUUGGACUGAGCCUGGCUGUGCCAGCUGACGUUGAGCUGAAACGCGUGGCCCGCUCUGGCUCAGAUUCCAGCUCCAAUGAGAGGAGAUGGAGUUCCCCCUCCCAGCCACAGCUUCCGUUUGCCCAGCUUCUCCAGCUGCUGCUGAGCCUCCAGCCUGCCGCCCCCGCCCCU
Megalops cyprinoides (Indo-Pacific tarpon) is the source of this 262-nucleotide long non-coding RNA. RefSeq lists it as uncharacterized. The transcript has 4 exons. The record is from RefSeq and is a predicted model, not a curated record. NCBI's taxonomy places the organism in Eukaryota, Metazoa, Chordata, Actinopteri, Elopiformes, Megalopidae.